This 761-nucleotide ribosomal RNA is filed under the name Bacteroides sp. ES-03. RNAcentral describes it as "bacterial SSU rRNA". It matches the Rfam family "Bacterial small subunit ribosomal RNA", at positions 26 to 779 of the family's 1533-position model. The record is from RNAcentral. Lineage: Bacteria; Pseudomonadati; Bacteroidota; Bacteroidia; Bacteroidales; Bacteroidaceae.
AGAUGAACGCUAGCUACAGGCUUACACAUGCAAGUCGAGGGGCAGCAUGGUCUUAGCUUGCUAAGGCCGAUGGCGACCGGCGCACGGGUGAGUAACACGUAUCCAACCUGCCGUCUACUCUUGGACAGCCUUCUGAAAGGAAGAUUAAUACAAGAUGGCAUCAUGAGUCCGCAUGUUCACAUGAUUAAAGGUAUUCCGGUAGACGAUGGGGAUGCGUUCCAUUAGAUAGUAGGCGGGGUAACGGCCCACCUAGUCUUCGAUGGAUAGGGGUUCUGAGAGGAAGGUCCCCCACAUUGGAACUGAGACACGGUCCAAACUCCUACGGGAGGCAGCAGUGAGGAAUAUUGGUCAAUGGGCGAGAGCCUGAACCAGCCAAGUAGCGUGAAGGAUGACUGCCCUAUGGGUUGUAAACUUCUUUUAUAAAGGAAUAAAGUCGGGUAUGGAUACCCGUUUGCAUGUACUUUAUGAAUAAGGAUCGGCUAACUCCGUGCCAGCAGCCGCGGUAAUACGGAGGAUCCGAGCGUUAUCCGGAUUUAUUGGGUUUAAAGGGAGCGUAGAUGGAUGUUUAAGUCAGUUGUGAAAGUUUGCGGCUCAACCGUAAAAUUGCAGUUGAUACUGGAUAUCUUGAGUGCAGUUGAGGCAGGCGGAAUUCGUGGUGUAGCGGUGAAAUGCUUAGAUAUCACGAAGAACUCCGAUUGCGAAGGCAGCCUGCUAAGCUGCAACUGACAUUGAGGCUCGAAAGUGUGGGUAUCAACAGGAUA